GUCUUUUAGGAGGUAACUGAUGAAGAGGGAGCGCAGGAUGGGGUGGGGAAAGCACAUUCCAGGCAGGGAACAGCAUAUGCAAAGGCCCUGUGGCUGGAGGGAGAGCUUCGCGUUUGAGGGACAGGAGGGCAGCCCCGAAUGUGACGAGCGAGAGGGAGAGGAGGAUGGAGAUGUGGGCAGGGGUCAGUCUGGGCGGUGGCCAGCAGCCAUGAGAGUGUGAUGGGCUGUCUCUGGCAGGCAGUGGGGGAGCCAUGGAUGGUUGGACACAGGCGUGACCUGGUCAUCCUGGUGGAUGUUGAUGGUGAUGAGGAGAAGGAUGGGGUUGAGAAUCGUAGGAGGUACUGAGUUCUUACCGCGUGCCAAGCACCAUUUCACAGAUCGAAGUGAGGGCUGGGGAGGGGAAGUGACUUAUCCAGGUCACACCACUGGCAAAUGGCAGAAAUGGGACUCAGACCGCAUCUGUCUGGCCACACAGUCCGCACGCUCGUCCUGCAUGUCCUGUACACACUGUACACAGAGCUGCCCUUUGUCUGGAUGCGGAAGCCAAGGGACAUGCAGACGACCCUGUCACCUGCCUCCCUGUGGUGCUGACUCCUCUCUGCUCUGAGUUCCAGGCUGGGUGGGGACUGCAGGUCACAGGAUUGGCCGGAGCUGGAAAAGCCCAGCUCAGUUCCUGCUGAGGCCCAGCAGGGGAAGGAGAGGUUGCAACAUCGGCGGAGGCUGAGGUUCCGGAGAAGUUGGGCCCCCAGCCUGUUCACUGGGGCACAGGUCACACUGCAGACGCAGCCCCACUAGCUUGUUUGGGGCUCGAGGACUCCCACAACAUCCCCGGGAGGGGGGUGGCACCGGGACCCUCAUUUCCUCCUGUGGAAGCAGAACCAGGUGACUGCACUGCUGUAGACCCACCAGCGGCAUUGAAAAAACCCUCACCAGGCUGGGCGAGGUGGCUCAUGACUGUAACUCCAGCACUUUGGGAGGCCAAGGCAGGCAGAUCAAUUGAGGUCAGGAGUUCAAGACCAGCCUGGUCAACAAGGUGAAAUCCCAUCUCUACCCAAAAUACAAAAACUAGUCCGGUGUGGUGGUAUGCACCCGUAAUCCCACUACUCAGGAGGCUGAGGCAGGAGAAUCGCUUGAACCCGGGAGGCGGAGGUUGCAGUGAACCGAGAUUGCGCCACUGCACUGCAGCCUGGGCGACAGAGUAAGACUCUGUCUC
RNAcentral lists this long non-coding RNA (1213 nucleotides) under Homo sapiens (human). RNAcentral's name for it is "non-protein coding LINC01503:18". Lineage: Eukaryota; Metazoa; Chordata; Mammalia; Primates; Hominidae. The record is from RNAcentral.